RNAcentral lists this long non-coding RNA (620 nucleotides) under Salmo salar (Atlantic salmon). Its description in RNAcentral is "lncRNA (ENSSSAG00000121407.1)". The record is from RNAcentral. Lineage: Eukaryota; Metazoa; Chordata; Actinopteri; Salmoniformes; Salmonidae.
GAAAAACACACACAGUACCGCGUAACUACGACUUAUGUAGCUAACAUGUUCAUUAGAAACGGGCUAACAAGCUAGCUAGGGGGGGCUGCAGGAAACUAGUUUGCUGGAGCACCACUUCCUCUAGAAGCCACACAGAGACACACACAGACCCAAAAUGGAGGCUUUGGAGUAGAGGACUUUAAUGGCGACACUCAUCUCUGCGUGCCGGGUCAAAUAUCUCAACAUGGAUGUCGGCCCACCGUAAGCUCAACCUCGACAAGAUAGAGCUGCUCUUCCUCCCCGUUGGAAGGCCAGCCCGCUUCAAGACCUCUCCAUCAUCACGGUUGACAACAACUCCACGUUGUUCCCCUCCAAGAGUACAAUGAAACCUUGGCGUGACCCUGGACAACACCUGCAAACAUCAAAGCACUGACUUGUUCCUGCAGGUUCAUGAUGAAAUCUUCAAAGAGUAUUAACCCACCACCAACUUGCCUUUCAUUUAACUAACCCAUUCAUUUAACUAACCCAUUCAUUUAACUAACCCUUUCACUUAACUAACGCAUUAAUUUAACUAACCCAUUCAUUUAACUAACCCUUUCAUUUAACUAACCCAUUCAUUUAACUAACCCAUUCAUAAAAGU